Molecule: ribosomal RNA, 253 nt
Filed under: uncultured bacterium
Lineage: Bacteria
Description: partial 16S ribosomal RNA
Rfam family: Bacterial small subunit ribosomal RNA
Source: RNAcentral
UACGAAGGGGGCAAGCGUUGCUCGGAAUCACUGGGCGUAAAGCGCACGUAGGCGGAUCGAUCAGUCAGGGGUGAAAUCCCAGAGCUCAACUCUGGAACUGCCUUUGAUACUGUCGAUCUGGAGUAUGGAAGAGGUGAGUGGAAUUCCGAGUGUAGAGGUGAAAUUCGUAGAUAUUCGGAGGAACACCAGUGGCGAAGGCGGCUCACUGGUCCAUUACUGACGCUGAGGUGCGAAAGCGUGGGGAGCAAACAGG